Lagopus muta (rock ptarmigan) is the source of this 217-nucleotide long non-coding RNA. RefSeq lists it as uncharacterized. Lineage: Eukaryota; Metazoa; Chordata; Aves; Galliformes; Phasianidae. The transcript is spliced from 3 exons. The record is from RefSeq and is a predicted model, not a curated record.
CUCUUUUGGAGUUUGUUCUUCUUGGAGCGUUCUUAGUGAGCCUGGGACAAGGCACCCAGGAAAAAGGAGGAGUUUUACAGCUUGGGAAGAAUCUUUCACCAAAAACAUGACUUUGCCUAUUCAGAAAUAACACUGACAGAGGCAGCAACACUGUGAGCUUCCCAAUGUGCUCUUCUCUCUGGGCAGUCUGGACAGGAGGUGUCCAAGCACCCACCCU